AAAACGACUCUCGGCAACGGAUAUCUCGGCUCUCGCAUCGAUGAAGAACGUAGCAAACUGCGAUACUUGGUGUGAAUUGCAGAAUCCCGUGAACCAUCGAGUCUUUGAACGCAAGUUGCGCCCGAAGCCAUUAGGUUGAGGGCACGUCUGCCUGGGCGUCACGC
RNAcentral lists this ribosomal RNA (164 nucleotides) under Strychnos boonei. RNAcentral's name for it is "5.8S ribosomal RNA". It matches the Rfam family "5.8S ribosomal RNA". From Rfam's summary of the family: 5.8S ribosomal RNA (5.8S rRNA) is a component of the large subunit of the eukaryotic ribosome. It is transcribed by RNA polymerase I as part of the 45S precursor that also contains 18S and 28S rRNA. Lineage: Eukaryota; Viridiplantae; Streptophyta; Magnoliopsida; Gentianales; Loganiaceae. The record is from RNAcentral.